AUGCUGUAAAAAUACAACCUUGAAAUGUUGAACUAGUCAUAUUGUUGUAAUCAAGCAGAACUUGGAGCUUCUCAGAUGGUAUCAUGGUUUUCCUAACCUCAAGAAGCAGCAAGGGUGCUUGAUUAGACAUACCAAUUUCCUUGGGAGGUUCAUGUCUGACUUUUUCAGGGGAAAUCAAGCCUUCAACCUAAAUUCUGAAGACAAGAGAAUGAAAAGAUUCCUUUUAUGGUGGCAAUGAUUCUCCAAUCUUGCAACUAAUUCAGAAAUAUACUUAGGCGUAAGUUCUAAUACUUUCUCAGCG
RNAcentral lists this unclassified non-coding RNA (301 nucleotides) under Hevea brasiliensis (rubber tree). Lineage: Eukaryota; Viridiplantae; Streptophyta; Magnoliopsida; Malpighiales; Euphorbiaceae. The record is from RNAcentral.